UGUAGGCUGCCCAACUUUCAAGUGAAAAUAUGGAGGUUAUUUACAGAGUUGUUUCUCCUGAUGCAUGAUUAAUCAAAACUGAUGGUGAUAUCACCAUAGCAUAGCCAAACUCUGCCAGAGAUUUACAAAGCAAAGGGAAGGCACUCAACACCCAUAGUUACCUCCCUUGUGGUAUGGAACAUCUUUGAAAAGCGAAGCCAAAUGAGCUUGCUGGACUUGUUAUGUUUGAAUUUGUUGGUUUGGUUGUUGAGGACACCUGUACACGCAGUGUAAUUUGUUUGUUCGUUUUUUAUACAAAGCAAAUGUUCUUUUGUUUUCGCUGCAUUGGUCUCCUUCUUUAUCACUGUUCUGGCAAGGACAGGCAGAUGCAUCUGAAUCUCAAGUCAUUGCCAUUGGCAGCCCUAUCUUUCCCCUUCGUUUUUGCUCUGUUUUUUUACAAGUGCCCUGGCCAUGUAAAUCGCUUCAAUCUUCACCUGGGAGCUCCCUUAUUUUCAAUACCGCUGUGUUGCAAUCUGUUGAACCGUGAUGGGAUCUGUACACAGAUGUUGAGGACCAAUGCCUUUUUUUUCCCUUGCGGGAAGAAGUCCAAUGCCCUUCAUCAGUACGAGUACUGAUACUACCUGAAUGUCAUACUACCUGAACUGUCUUGCACCUGGUUAUUUGAGACAGACGGGCAAGUUCAGCACUGCGUUUUAACAACUUCGCGCCACCGCGCGGUAUCAAGCUGAACCACUUCACACAUCCCUUUUGCAGACCGAUCCGUUGCAGUGAUGGCAGUGACAAGUCCACGGCAUGGCGCCCUGCUGCCAAGGCCACAAAUGAAUGCAGCAAGGGUGGAUAGACGCAAACGGCAACGCCGGGCGUCGGCUUUACGCCGGCCAGUUCCGCACCGUCACCUCAGGCGUCCAGAACGGGGUCGACAGGCGCACAUUGCCAAAGGGGAGCCGUGUCUCCGGCGAUCGGAUCAGACCCUUCGAAUUAGAAUCCAAUACAGGAGGCACAGCGAAAUCGGCGUCGUUUCUCCGCCAUCAGGUCAGUUCUUGCACCUAACCAACUCUUGGGGGCGGUGCACAUGCAGACGCAGACAUGCUGCGGGCACAUUUCCAUCCAUCCAUCCGUCCCAGGCUUGAGUUCUGUUCAGUCCUAUAGAUCCUAUGCUAGACCGAGGGAGGCUUUUACUCCCCCUAUAUAUAUCUGCUGCACUGCGCCUCACUCACGCUCGAUGCAUUGCUCGUGCACAUGCAGGAACAGUGCUCUCUCGUCGGCGAUGAGACGGGCUACAGGGGUAGGGGCCGGAUUCAGAAAGGCAGCCUCUGCGCGGUGGCAGGGGGGAAAUGAGGCCUCGGCAUAGCCUGGUUGUGCAGAAAGAUCUAUAGACGAUCAUCCUCUAACACUAGCUUUUGUGUGUUCAGAGAAAUGAUCUCUACGUGGCUAACUGAUUUUGGUUUGUUUGUACGUCCCUGGCACUGGCAGGCACAGGUUAGGAGUCGAGAGCUGGGGGACCAUGCGCAAUGUGUGAACGUGCAGAUAGUGUUGGAUCCAACACCCAGACUCCUGGCAAUUAACAAGACGAAACUACUAUGCAGACGAAAGUCCCUGCACGAUCAGGGAACGACAGCCAAAUCCAGCCGUCUACUUCAUUUCAGUGCUGUGCAUGGACGAGCUGAUUUGCAUUGUCGUUCACAUAUCGUCCACAGCCCAUCGUGUGUAUAGCAGCGCUGUCUCCUCCCCAUGCUUAUCAGCAUCCACUGCAAAGGGCCCCGGUCGUCUACUCAUGAUAAAACUGAGCCCAAAUACACAGCCAUUAGGAACCAAAACAUAAACUACAUAUAUUGGAAGAAACAGCAUGGAAGGCGCCGAGAAAAGGCGUCGCCGCUUUAUUCCGGCGCACAAAAAUUGCUGCUCUUAUAGAAUGAAUGAAAUAUAGGAAAGGAACCCACUGUGCGCCGACAGGUGGAACGGUGUCAAAAGCCUUAAGCCAUCCUUUAGUGGUCAGAGAUGCAAAUGCCCCUGUAUUACAUAGAGCCUAACCUAAGCUUAUUUCAUGAUUUCUUUUCCUCCUUGAUAGUUUAUAGUUUCCCAAGCCCUCUCCACUAUCCAGCCCUUUUGGCCAUAUAAUUAUCUUGUGCCACGCCAAACACUUUGCUUAAUGCAUGCCCACAUGUAUGGAUGCAUCACUGAUGAAGAAGCAUCCCAAAAUCAGAGAGAGCUCACUGGAUUGGAGAAUCGCUCGAUCGACAGUAUGAACACUUGGCAUGUUAUUCUGUCGGAAUUGCGAGAAGAGAUUAGUUUACUGACAGUUGCGAGUAAGUGCUCGCUGCUUUGAAUCAAGAAUGUGAUCUUUGUUAUGAUAACAGUAUAAGAUAUGCAGUCUAGGAUGUAGGGGGGACAGAUUAGGAGAAACUUGGAAGCAUCAUGGAAAAAUUACACGGUAGAUCGGCGCAACGCCGAAAAUGUUUUCUGUUUUGCCAAGUGGAGCUUGAUUGGCACAGGAAAUAUGGUCAAGAUUGGUACAACAAGUUGCAGGGCAUAUUCUUUUGCCAAUCCUAUAGGAGCUCCCUUCACCCUUAGGCGCAUUUCUUAAUUUUAUUGCCUGUCAAUUCAUGGCUUAGAAGAAGCCAUUAGGCUGCCUAGAGCAUACUUUGCCUCAAAGCUUAAAAAAGUAGAUAACACUGACAUCCUUCCUGCCAAGACUUGAAGUCAAUCUAACCCAUAGAUGCCAAAAUAGUCACUAAACUAGUACAUUUAGCUGUACAAACUUUGCUGUACAUAGUAGUCUCGUCCCAAGGAUACCUAGGCAGUUGGUGAGAAAUUACAUCCAUCUUGCAAGCCUCUACUGAAUAUUGUAUUUUUCUCUGAAAUGUCAUUUUCACCAAUAUAUAUUCAGUUAUGAAAGAAAAUAACAGAUAGUGAACUCCAUAUAUUCUACAAACUUUGGAAAGAUCAAGUCCAUUGUGAGGUAACUUGGAACUACUCGUGAGCAAUGAGCUUAAUCAGAGAGCAUCUUGUUUGUGACAAAAUGAUAUACUGUAUAUUUUUUGUGUUUGCUAGUCAAUCUCGCCGCAUUUGUCUUAUGAUAAAAACACAUUAAUUAGAAGCCAAUGUGUUCCCUAUAUGCCGAUGCAUUGAUGUGUUCAAGUACCACAUAUAUAGGUGGCAACUGAACUGUUCUAUUUAGUUAAGCUAAGGUCAGUGUCAUGGGUCAGUGAGCAUAGUGCACAGCACUAUAAUUAAACAACCAUUAUGGUGGAUAUAAACUAACAUCAUGCAGAUUACAUUAAACAUGGGGGGACCAAGACAUUGCCAGAUACAAGGCAGGAAAAUUCCUGUAUAAUCCCGCAGCAAACGACAAUUUGGGUACACUUCCUAUUCUUUGUUAAUCACCAAGUGGGAAUGUUUAAUUUCUUGGGAUGUUGUGAUGCACUUGUUGCUUGUGUAGACCUUGAAUUGGCUCUCUGCUGUCUCGUGGUUUGCCUACAACACGGAUGAUUUGGCUUUAGCAACAGCUAAUCAUGGUGGAAUUACAGAUAAACUUCCUCAAAUGAGUACUAAAUGUAUUCAUCGGUCCUCUACAUGUGAGCGACAAAGAUCCAUAGGGUAUCUCGGACCGAUUCUUGGGUAGUUAUAGUGAAUUUUCAUGCUUCAUUUUAGUAAUAUAUGUGUGCGCAUGUGUAAUCUGAUGUAUUUUUUUUCCUGUGACGACGAUGCUUCCAGGACGUGAGGGAGAUGCUAUGUUUUAACUUUUAGUAUUUGUUUCCAAGAAAAUACUACACCCUCCGUCCUAAAAUAUAAGAACGUUUUUCAUACUACACUUGUAUGAAAAACGUUCUUAUAUUUUAGGACAGAGGGAGUACUUGUUAGAAAUUUGUCGCACACAUGUUGAAGACUUGGACAUGUAUAUGUUUGUUUUGUUUUCUACUCUCCCCGUUCCAAAUUAUAAGAUAUUCUAACUCUUUUCAGAAUCCCAUGUAUAUAGACAUGUUUUAGUGUGUCUGUUCCCUCAUUUUGGUUUGUAUGUAGGCCAUAUUGAAAUAUCCAAAACUUCAUAUAAUUCAAAAGGGAGGUAGUACUUUGCAUCGUUCUACCCUCUCAUAUUUUUGCAUGUGUAUUGAUGUACUAAAGCGGGCACCCAGGAGCCAUUUCGCCCUCUGGUAUCUUGCAUAUGUACCAGUAUACUUUAGUGAAACUUGAAAAAAGAAGAGGGGAUUUAUGAGAGAACACGAAUAAAGAGUAGCAGCGUAAGGGUCUAUUUUGUUCGAAGAAUUUUAGAACUGCAUGAGAAUAGAAAACUAAACACUACAUAUAGCUUGGGUUACUAUUAUAUUAAUGCUAUCACUUGAUGAGUAGUAUAGAGAACAUAUGAUUAAGACAAGAUAUCAUUAUAGUAAGCUCACUUGUGGCAAAAGCAAGCGGUUGUUUGAUACCGUUAGUUGAUUCCGCACUGCCGUUAAGGUUUUCCCAACCGAACUUUUCUAAAAUGGAAGUGCACUCCAUGAGCUUUGCUUUGGUAAGCAGUCUUAAUGAUGAACCUCUCGAUUACUGUAGAUCCAGCCAAGUUACCUAUUUGUGUGGUUUCAUGAAGGCAUCUCUGCUAUGGCCAGACGUUGAACUCAACACGGAAAAUACCAAAAUCAAAUGAGUAAGUAGAUAUGAACCGCUUGAUUUACUGAAUUGUGCAAUAUUUAAAGUUCAAACUCAUUAUUGUAUACUAAGUAGCAGGCACGCGGGUAACAUCUUAAUUGUUUUGUAAUUUUAUAUUCGUUGAAGACCAGCAUAUUAGUCAGAAGGUAUGUGGAUUGCGAUAAUGUUUUAAGUUCUCACACAUGUAUAUGUAAAAAAAUGAACCAUUGAGUUUACUUAUGUUAGAAUUAGUAGUAAUUACUAUCAUUAUCAUUAUUGUUGUUAUUAUGAUCACUGGUGUAUUUUCUCUUAGUAAAAGGUUCAGACCAAUCCAAGGAAUUCUAAUAAAAUUUAGAUAAAUAAAGUGGAGGAGAAUACCAAGCCCAAAUAAAAUAGUAUCAAAAUUUUAUGAGUGUGUACAUUAAUUGUAUUAUAUUCUAUGAUCAAGGCAAAUUACAAUAAGCUUUAAGGCUUUAAUUGUGAGUAAGAGAUCCAUGAGUUUCUCUAAAAUAAUGUGUAUGCGUUGAAGUGCUUGGAUUAAUCCUUAAAUGUGUGAUGCAUAUAAUUUCAGUUUUCACGGAUAACUAGCUAACAUUUGUUUUUAAUAUUGUUUGUAUUCUAUUUGCUCUUGUUUGUGAUCGAGUUAUCUAGAUUCGUGCCCAUAAUUUACGUGUCAUCUUUGCAUUGUGAAAACAUACUUUAAUAUUCUAGAUCAGCGAUUUCUAUUUGCGUCUCCUAUUAUUCUACCUUCAAUCAAUAGUCGGGUUUUGAAACAUCUGACAGUUGGGGAAAAAGAUUGUGAGGAGUUACUUACCCGACCGAUUUCUUUUCUGGCAAUUGCAACCCCAUUUAGCAUUUCUUUUAUGGUACCCAAAGAUAGAAAAGUUGUGGCAGUCGAAGUUCAGCCAAUAUAAAGGCCCUAAGAUCCCCGUCAAAGACUUAAGCCAUUGCAGAACGGCGAUGUUCUGUAAAAUUGUGAAAUUUCAAGUUCAAACUUACAUCGAAGGUAUGAAACAAUGUUAAGUUCGGCACUUGUAGCAUUAUUUUACUGUUUUCUUCACCAUUUGUUGCUUUUUUCUUAUAAAUCUAAAAGAAAUUCAAACAAUUCAAAAAAAAAGAAAUUAGUUUUGGAAUUAGAAAUGUAUUACAUGUUCAUAGAGCAUCACCUCUCGGCACUUCUUUUUAUCGGAUUGUUUUACGAACUUUAAAGGUCUGAAGCAUAGUUUUCAUGUGGUUUUCACCCUAAUUUGAUUUCCACCGGAUAAUUUUUUCAUAGAAAAUAGAAGGUAUCAAAUGAAAACCAGCUUAAAAACUCGGUGGAAACCACACACACAAUAAGCUUUAAAAACUAUUGAAAAAAGAAAAUAUAUUGCAUAAGGCAAGGGCCGAGCCAGUCCCCGGUACGUGUCCCUGCUAACGUCACUGCUCAUUGUUGGCACGAGAAACAAACCAAGCCGAGAUUUAAAUCCGUGGGAGCCUUUCAUGUAGAAAAAAAUAAUCCAUGUCCUGAACGACGGAGACAUGCAUGGGUUGCCCACGAAAAAGGCCUCAGGGGCCCAUGCUGCCGUGCAUGCGUCAUCUGCUCGUCAUCUUUGUUUCCUGGUUCAGGUCAUCGGGGACGGGAUUUUCUACACGCAGCCCCCUUCUAUGCCCGUGGACAGCAAUAAACGGAGGUUGGUCAGAGCGUCUCUAGCAAAUACUUAAAACACGGACAAACUGCCUUAUAGGGGCCGGUUUACGGGACCGAUCGAAAAACUGGCCGAUCAGAUCCGCGAAAAAGGACCAGAACCGUAAAUUUUUUAGAGCACGCGUGUAAACCGCCCCCGUUUCCGCUAUAUAUUUGGGCGCCGAUGUAUUUUAGCGUUUCCAUCCCACAAAUCCUCUACCCUCCUUCGCCGUGAACCUCCUCCCUCCGGCGAGAAAUCACCUUCCCUCUGGCAGUGAUUUCCGGUGACUCCAGCCACCGGAUCUAUCCGGUGAUGGUAACCGCGGGUGCGGGGCGUGGCAGCGACGAUGGUUUCGGUCGGCGCGGGGGCUUCGGGUGCUACGGUGGAGACGGCGCGCGCGACAGCUUCGUCGCCUGCAAGUGCCGGAACGACGACGAGGCAGGCGGCUCCGGCCUCCGCCCUGCCGUGUCGGACAUGCAAAGAGAGGCGGGGCGCAAGCGCGACGCCAAGUCCUGCAGUGCCGGUGCUCCGGCUUGGGCCAGCUUUCGUCGCCUCGGCGACAUCUUCGAUCCCGCGCUGGAAUGUCAUUGGGAGGCGGAGGUCGCGUGGUUCAACGCGAAGGAGGCCGCCGCAGCCGAGAUCUGGCCGCGGCCGCGCGCAUGCCGGCGUUGCUGGAGGAGUUCCAGAUGCAACGACCCUCUGCUCCAUGCUGAUCUACAACACGCUGCACGACAACGAGCCCCCGCGCACCACGGCAGCGAUAACAGCUCCGGCGAGGACUCUAGUGAUGAGUAGAUCUUAGCUCCCCUAGGCUAUGUUUCAGUUGUGUUUAAUUAUGGUUUGUACUAAAAACUCUCCUAUGCUAAGUGUGUGAUGAACUCCCAUAUGCUAUGCUAUGUUGGUUUGAUGAACUCCAGCGAGAUGUUUUUAGCGUGAAGUAGUUUGUUUAAAUGUAUGUCCUAUGCGGGAUCUGUUCUUGCAGCACGCCCGACGUCCUGCAAAAAACGUUUACGGGAUACCGUAAAAGAUUUUUUCAGGACGGCAGCUUGUAGUAUCUGCUAGAGAAGUUCUUAUCCGGAGAGACCGCCGCCCCAGCUGAUCCAUUAUUAGGACAUCUUCAAUGGCGACCCCAUAAAUUUUCUUCUAUAUCCGUUUGCAGACAGAUGGGACCAGUCCACAGACACAGAUACGGGAGGCCGCCAUCCAACGCUAUCUUGUAUAUGUUCGUCAGUAAAUUUAAAUUUAGUUGUGCUUCGAUUCACAUAGCGCGCCGGAUCAUACUAGUGUCGGAUCGCAUGCCUGAUCACAACCAAAAAGUGGCAAGUAUGCUUAGUUUUUACAUGCCCGAAUUUAAAGGAAUAUUAGUCCGGCAGUCAGUGCAUUUCUGCCCUGCCGGACCGACAAUCCCAGCCAUCUGCUCCCCGAUCAAGGUGGUGCCGUCGCCGCCAUGUAGGCAGCCUCCGCGUUCGCGUCCGCAUCCACCUCCUCCGUGUCCUCAUAGUCCGCCGCCCUCAACUCAUCUUUCUGUCGCUGCAACAUCUGGUAGCAGACGGAUGGCACAAUCAUUCUUGCGUCGGCAUCCAAAGAGUCGACAUUCAAGGUCAUCAUCUUGGCGUCCUCCGUAUUGACGGUGAUCUUCACUCUCUUUUCCUCGAGCGUGGUCUUCCUCUCUUCGAUCAUGGUCCUCGUCUCUUCGAGUUUGAUCUUCUUGUCCGUUGCCUCCAUCAACAAUUUGAAUCUCUACGCCUUCCUUUCCUCCUUGAUGUCCGAUCUCUUCACGCAUGACUCUCCUUCUUCGCCAAGAUGUUCUCGAACCUCUCAGUUAGCUUGGCCACCGCACCUUCUCGCUUCACCCUCUCCUCCUCCCACUUCUUCCCCCGUAAAUUUCUUCUAACCUUCUUCAGCGGUUCUUGGGUUGGGUCGGUAGGGACACCGGUUUCUUUCUCGCUGGCUUGGGCGGUGGUGUUGGCAAUGAAAAGGUUCCACUUGGGCUGCCCAUUCAAUUUCAACCAACAAUGCAUGACGGGGAAGGACUUCUUCUCCAACUUCUUGUACACCACACAAGCAUGAGUAGGUUACAAAGUGAGACAUUGUCGACAAUGCACAUCCGUCUAGUGAGCAACAAAACAAUACAUGUCCGGCUAGUGAAAAAAACUAAGUAUAUCCCGCUAGUGAUCAACUUACUUGCUCGGUCAUUUGUGCACCGCUAGACCACCGUGUGAUGAGAUGCUUCAAGUGCCCGCAAUACUUGGACACGACCUCUUGGAUGGUGUACCAUCGAUGGUUGAGGAAUUUUCAUUCACGGUUACGGAUGGCCGCGUAAGAGUAGGACGUGAAUUGUUUGUGUUCACGGAACCAUAUGUGAAUGUUCCUCCAAAAGGUUGUGCCCUAUUGCUCCGCGCCAUGGACUGGAUGAAUGCUAAUGGCCAUCCAUGUAUCGCACAACAGCUCGUCCUCCCGCAUGUUGAAGAUUUCUCCUCUACCCUUCUUCUUUGGUUCGCCGCCUGUAUCAUCCGGAUCAUCGUCCUUGCCGUCCUCCUCCCCUCCCACUCCGAUUGUUGCUGUCCGGCGGCCCAAUGCUGCUGUUGCUGUGUGCCAUCGCCGGUCUGGGUGUAGGACUGUUGCAUGACCGUCUAGGUGUAGGACUGCUGCUGCUGGUAGUUGCCGGACUGGGUGGAAUCCGAGUCUUUCACCUGUCCGCCCUCAUAGCUCCCUCCUCCUCCCUCGCCUCCGUCGUGGAUGAUGUCGAGCAUCUCCCUGUCCGGGUCAUCGUACGCCGGUUCCCUUGCUCUAGGCAUUGCAGCGAACAAUGUGCAGGCACCCAUCUGCUCCCCGCCCGCCGUCCGCACCCGGACGAGCUGCGGUAAAGAAUACUCGGAGAAGAGCGGCGCCGCGUUAACGUCGACGAUGUAAGGCACCGUACCAGCGGGGGUUCCGAGAUGCUUGGAGGCGUAAUAGUACGGAGGCUUGUAAUGCUCCGGCCACGACGCCGUCUGUACUGUGGGUGAGCCCGUCUGGCGGCGUCCGUCGCGACCGCCUCAUCCGCCACGACCUCCACCAGGCCCACCGGCGGCCAACCGCUUCUUGAGCUUCUCCUCCUUUGCGGCCUUCACUUUGACGCGGGAGUCUGCUGCGUAGCCGAGCUGAUCUUCCGGGUGAGCGUGAUGCUCGGUUCCUCCGGCACCUUUGCUGGCUCCAUCUCCGAUAGGUUCUCCAACGGUUCCAUGCGGCGGCGGCGGAAGGAAGGAAAUGGUGGGAGAAAAGAGUNNNNNNNNNNNNNNNNNNNNNNNNNNNNNNNNNNNNNNNNNNNNNNNNNNNNNNNNNNNNNNNNNNNNNNNNNNNNNNNNNNNNNNNNNNNNNNNNNNNNNNNNNNNNNNNNNNNNNNNNNNNNNNNNNNNNNNNNNNNNNNNNNNNNNNNNNNNNNNNNNNNNNNNNNNNNNNNNNNNNNNNNNNNNNNNNNNNNNNNNNNNNNNNNNNNNNNNNNNNNNNNNNNNNNNNNNNNNNNNNNNNNNNNNNNNNNNNNNNNNGAAGAUAGUGGAGGACUUUUGGCGCGGAAACAAUGCGGGAUGCUCCAAAAGCGCGGGCUCUGCCUUCCUUUUAGGUGGGCCAUGGGUGCAGAGAGCGACGUUUCACGUGUCUGGACUCCUGCAAAGCCCCCGCGUUUGUCUUUGGUCUGAGAGAGAAAACAUGCCUGGACCACGCCGUCGAGCGAUACAAGACCGCGUUGGAUGACUUCCAUAAUCCGGACAGCACAAUUCGAACGGAUGCGGGCGAUUUGUGGGUUGCUGUUGGAGAUGCCCUUAUCAUGUAUCCGUCCGACAUUUCCUAAAUGAUCCAUUGGUACUAAACAUGUCAAGGUUCGAUAUUUUCCUAUCGUAAUCUGUCUACCUCACCAACUUUCUGAACUUACCUACGUCGCCCGAAAAUGAUGCAAGUACGUCACAAACCUGCAGAUAGCCUACAUGGGUGUGCUAUACACUAAUUGAAAAACACAUAUAAUACCAAGUUAAGAAAAGAUAGAGAAUCCCGUGAAAAUGGCACUUGGCUCCCGAAGGAGACGAACUGGAGGCUGGAGCGAUAUGUUAUUACCCACGUUCAGAAACAGAGACGUGCAUGCAUGCAUGCAUGGAAGGAUCCCUCCACAGUGUGUGGUUUAGCUGGUCGUGAUUUGGCUGAAACACGUGCACGGUGUGUUCAUUUUGGGAGCAAAUGGCCGACUAUAUAGGCUGUUGCUUGCUUUUUUCCGGAUAAAUGGUGCUUUUAUUAAUAGGCUGUUGCUUGCUGAUAUGGCACAUUUCCUUGUUAUUUGCCACCCUAUAUGUAGGUUCGGUAAGGAAGAAAAUCGAUCGUAUUUGUUUGUUUAGAGCAAUAUUAUAGUUUUGCUAAAGCAUAUCUAGAUAUGCCAUAAGUAUUGCAUAUCUAAGUCCUAUGUCAUUGAUCUUACAUUGAGAUUCGUGUGGAUAUUUUCUUUUUCUUUUUCUCUUUUCUUCUUUAUGCUUGAUUCACUCACUUAAAUGUGCAAUAACUAGAGCACAUCUAGAUGUGCCCUAGACACACCCAAUAUUAUACGCAAAGUUGCCGAUGGGAUAUAUGUGCCUCAUGCUCAAAUCCUGGAAAGUUAUACUAGUAUCACAAAGUACAAAGGACCCGAUUUCCCCAACGUACGUGUAUGCCUGCAGUUGGUGGAACAGCCUUGAGAGGGAAAUCAAACUUUACUCAUGGAGUUACACUUUGACAGCGAAACACCAUAUAGAACCUGGGGUUACAUCGGUGAAAGCAAAGCACCUUUAUUCCUAUCGGCCAGUGUAGUACACUACCCAAUUUCCGUGCGUUGCAACGAGGGCAGAUAUAUUUUACUAGUGAUCUUUUCAUCCAACGCUCGAUGAUAUUUUUAUAGGUAAUCUGAUUCUUUCAUCUAAAUAAUAAUACUCUUUAUAAUUAGCAUGAUUCAACGGUCCAAAGAAUGAUACCCUUCAUAUUAACAUGAUUCUUUCAUCCAAAAGAUGACACUGUUCACAGUUAACGUGAAACCAACAAACCUACGAAACUUAACCAAACCAUGACGUAUCAUCACAACCACAUACUUCAUUUUAAUAAUAGAGAUUUGCCACUAAACUAUGUUGCUAAUUUGCUUUUCUGUGCUAGGUGCUAAUUUGCUUUUCCACACUGUGAGCUGAGUUAACAUGACGCUGAGAAUAAUCUGCGCCCGCCUAACAGAGGAACAGCCUAUGAUUGCCUCUAUCCAUGUGCACCAUCUCAUUUUAUAUAGCUCAACUGCCAGAAUUUUGAUAUGGAGACCCCAGCCAAUCGUACGUGUGGGAGUUAUCUCUUUCCAAACAUUCCAUGAUGAGACGGACCGACGGAGCAUAUAUUAAUAAGACUAAUCUCUCUUUUUGCGAAAUAUAUUAAUAAAACUAAUCAACCAAGUAGUACAACCAUUAUAUUUUUCAAUGAUACAAUAGUACUGAUGGUGUAUGGAACACAAAUUCAGUGGAAAUAUGACUACCCAUAUAACCAUGUGUUGGGAUCGCGAUUGGCGGUUGGCAGGUAUGGUUUCUUUCUCCGACGUCUUCGUUGAGUGAAGAUCCAAGAUCUGGAGUUUCAUGAUGUGUCUCAGGUGCUGACCCGUUUGGUACGUUCAAUAACAAUAACUUCGCCUUUGAUGAGCCACCUUGAAGGUCCGCAAAGCUGCAUAUCAACGAUAGUGUCGCGUCGAGCUCGGAUGAGGAGGUGAUCUGUCAUAUUAUCCUUUGGUAACUUCUGUGGUGGUGCCGAAGGCAGGUGACGGACAUUGGUGUCAAGCUCAGAGGAUUAUUGUAAUUUUCUUUCUUGACUGGUGGUCCUUUGUGCAAAGGCUAGCCUUAUGCUAUCUUUUUAGUUUUGUAAGAUUGGCGCCAAGAUGGCUUUUACUAUGAUCUUUAUAUAUGAAUGAGACACAUAUUACCGUGUAAGAAAGUCAUGGUAUUUCUUUACUACUUAAUUAGCGCACCCAACUGGUUAAGAAGAAAUCUAGCCAGAGCUUACAACGAAUGGACCGGAUUUGAAGCAACCAAAAAUGCCAAUUGAACAUAGGCCUUGAUUGUUUGUGCUUUUGAAGUACUUUUUAAAGAAACAAGGUCAAACUAAAACAUGCCAUUUAAGUGACAUGGGGAAAUUAUUUCUAAGCCUCUCACAGCUCCAUAACAACAACACCCCCGCCCCAAGCCCCCCAAAAAGAAAAUACAUGAAAAAGAAAGGACAUUAAUCUACUUUUGUUUGGGGGAAAUGUCUUCUAAAAUGGGAAAUGUUGAAUGAAAACCUCUAACUUAUCAUAGCAUUACAUCAAUCUGCAUUUAUCCAAUGAUGACUUGGACAUUCGCCUAGGGCAUAGUGGAAGGUAAUUUCCAGCUAUAUAGGCUAAAACACCAUUGCAAGCUACUUCCUUGGCUUUCAUUAUUCUCACGCCCCUACUAUCUUUUUACUCAGAAAAAUUACAAGAAUUGCCAUUUAUAAAACACCAUCCACCUCCCUCCUCUGUGUGUGUGUGUCUCUCUCUGUGUGUGUGUGUGUGUGUGUGUUGUCAUUUUUUCCCGCAUCUUGGUCACUCUAUAGUUGUAUUGCCAAACGAUCAACCUUUAUCAUAAUCGCUUCCUCUGCACUUCAGCUCUGCCACCUUAGCCAACCCACAACUGCAUCCCAAACAAACAUAACCUAAGUAACAAGCUAUUUUAUGACAAUUUUGUAAUAAACAAGAGACAAGUUCCUUGGUCCUAAGGGCAGUCCAAGUGUGUGUACAUACGAUGCAUCGUAUGCAUGAAAUGUGUGUUUAGAUAUAAGUUUGUUGAUGGUUAAUAUAUUAGCGUUGCAUGUAAAGUAGUUGUUAUUUGGCAUGGUUUACAGGAGAGAAAAAAAUAGUUGUCUCCGGUUCUACGAUAUGAGUCAUAUCAAGAUCAGGGGCGGAGCUACUAUUGAGGCAUUGGUGUUAGCUGACACCAGGCAGUUUAGUAAUUUCUUCAAAAUCUUAUACAAUCACUGCUUAAUUGCAUAGAUGACACCAUCAGUACAUAGCUGCGACCAUAGGGAUUUUUUUUCUAGUUUGGGGUGCAUAUUUCCUCUCUUGGUUCUUUCUAUGUCUCAGUUGAUUGAUUCUACAAAGUGCAACUCUAAUUCAGUAAAAACAAAUGUAGCUUGCAUUAUUUUUCACCCAAUGCACUUUUCUGAGAAAGUGCAAGAUGGAAUUUCACUUUUCAGAAACCGGCCGAGACUAGAAAAUGUCAAUCAACUGAGAACCGCUCUCUCUCUUUUUCUCAUUAACAUUUUUCUUCAAAAAGGAUAAAAAAACCUGGCUUCUACAUUGUUGUGAUGCACCCAUCUAAAUUUAUUAAAUGAAAUAAAAGUAGUCGAGAACGUUUACAGUGCUAGCAAAGGGGUUAGCAAAAACACAAAAAAGACUACAACAGGUCGGUAAAAUAGAUUACAUUUUUUUGUGGG
RNAcentral lists this long non-coding RNA (13757 nucleotides) under Triticum aestivum (bread wheat). RNAcentral describes it as "long non-coding RNA (TAES_LNC000020)". The stretch from base 3768 to 3854 matches the Rfam family "MIR1120/MIR1122 microRNA precursor family". Lineage: Eukaryota; Viridiplantae; Streptophyta; Magnoliopsida; Poales; Poaceae. The record is from RNAcentral.